GCGGCCGUCGUCUAGCUGGUUAGGACGCAGGCCUUCCAAGCCUGUAGUCCCGGGUUCGAAUCCCGGCGGCCGCACCA
Molecule: transfer RNA, 77 nt
Filed under: Candidatus Bathyarchaeota archaeon
Lineage: Archaea; Thermoproteati; Candidatus Bathyarchaeota
Also listed under: 1 other name
Description: tRNA-Gly
Rfam family: tRNA
About the family: Transfer RNA (tRNA) molecules are approximately 80 nucleotides in length. Their secondary structure includes four short double-helical elements and three loops (D, anti-codon, and T loops).
Source: RNAcentral